UAGGGAAUCUUCCGCAAUGGACGAAAGUCUGACGGAGCAACGUCGCGUGAGUGAAGAAGGAUUUCGGUUCGUAAAACUCUGUUGUUAGGGAAGAAAAAAUGUAUAGUAACUAUAUACAAAAGAGACGGUACCUAACCAGAAAGCCACGUCUAACUACGUGCCAGCAGCCGCGGUAAUACGUAGGUGGCAAGCGUUGUCCGGAAUUAUUGGGCGUAAAGCGCGCGCAGGUGGUUUAGAAAGUCUGAUGUGAAAGCCCACGGCUCAACCGUGGAGGGUCAAUGGAAACUAAUAAACUUGAGUGCAUAAAAGAAAAGUGAAAUUCCUAGUGUAGCGGUGAAAUGCGUAGAGAUUAGGAGGAACACCGGUGGCGAAAGCGGCUUUUUGGCCUGCAACUGACUCUGAGGCGCGAAAGCGUGGGGAGCAAACAGG
This 429-nucleotide ribosomal RNA is filed under the name Verrucomicrobiota bacterium. RNAcentral describes it as "Verrucomicrobia bacterium partial 16S ribosomal RNA". It matches the Rfam family "Bacterial small subunit ribosomal RNA", at positions 355 to 776 of the family's 1533-position model. The record is from RNAcentral. Lineage: Bacteria; Pseudomonadati; Verrucomicrobiota.